AGAGUUUGAUCCUGGCUCAGGAUGAACGCUAGCGACAGGCUUAACACAUGCAAGUCGAGGGGCAGCAUAAAAGUAGCAAUACUUUGGUGGCGACCGGCGCACGGGUGAGUAACGCGUAUGCAACCUACCUAUCAGAGGGGAAUAACCCGGCGAAAGUCGGACUAAUACCGCAUAAAACAGGGGCACCGCAUGGUGAUAUUUGUUAAAGAAAUUCGCUGAUAGAUGGGCAUGCGUUCCAUUAGGUAGUUGGUGAGGUAACGGCUCACCAAGCCGACGAUGGAUAGGGGAACUGAGAGGUUGGUCCCCCACACUGGUACUGAGACACGGACCAGACUCCUACGGGAGGCAGCAGUGAGGAAUAUUGGUCAAUGGACGAGAGCCUGAACCAGCCAAGUCGCGUGAAGGAAGAAGGAUCUAUGGUUCGUAAACUUCUUUUGCAGGGGAAUAAAGUGCAGGACGUGUCCUGUUUUGUAUGUACCCUGAGAAUAAGGAUCGGCUAACUCCGUGCCAGCAGCCGCGGUAAUACGGAGGAUCCGAGCGUUAUCCGGAUUUAUUGGGUUUAAAGGGUGCGUAGGUGGUUUGAUAAGUCAGCGGUGAAAGUUUGCAGCUUAACUGUAAAAAUGCCGUUGAAACUGUCGGACUUGAGUGUAAAUGAGGUAGGCGGAAUGCGUGGUGUAGCGGUGAAAUGCAUAGAUAUCACGCAGAACUCCGAUUGCGAAGGCAGCUUACUAAGCUACAACUGACACUGAAGCACGAAAGCGUGGGGAUCAAACAGGAUUAGAUACCCUGGUAGUCG
Molecule: ribosomal RNA, 796 nt
Filed under: uncultured bacterium
Lineage: Bacteria
Description: bacterial SSU rRNA
Rfam family: Bacterial small subunit ribosomal RNA
Source: RNAcentral